UCUACGCCUCCUACAACAACAUCUCGGACACUGAGCCCGCUGUGCCUGCUGGAGCAAUUGGAGGUGCUGGACCUGGAGGGUGACCCCGUGGAGGACCUGGGGUAGGUGCGCUACUUGCUUCUGUGCCCACGCCUGGCCAUGCUCACCCUGGAGGGCAACCUGGUGUGCCUACAGCCGGCCCCUGGCCCCACCAACAAGGUGCCCAGGGGCUACAACUACAGGGCAGAGGUGAGGAAGCUCAUCCCCCAGCUGCAGGUCCUGGACGAAGUGCCGGCCACACACACGGGCCCACCGGCCCCCCCGCGGCUGAGCCAGGACUGGCUUGCAGUGAAGGAGGCCAUCAAGAAGGGCAACGGCCUUCCCCCGCUGGGUACGGCAGCUGCGCCCGGAGGACCCGCUGCUGAGCCCCAGCUCCCCCCAGGAAGAGGCCCCCACCCCAGGCCUCUCAGAAACGGAUAGCCACAUCUCAUGCGCUUCUCCAGCCUUGACCCCGGUCCCCAGAGCUGUG
RNAcentral lists this long non-coding RNA (508 nucleotides) under Pan troglodytes (chimpanzee). RNAcentral's name for it is "long non-coding RNA NONPTRT002466". Lineage: Eukaryota; Metazoa; Chordata; Mammalia; Primates; Hominidae. The record is from RNAcentral.